RNAcentral lists this ribosomal RNA (501 nucleotides) under uncultured bacterium. RNAcentral describes it as "partial 16S ribosomal RNA". It matches the Rfam family "Bacterial small subunit ribosomal RNA", at positions 28 to 507 of the family's 1533-position model. The record is from RNAcentral.
GACGAACGUUGGCGGCGUGCUUAACACAUGCAAGUCGAACGGUGAAGCACCUUCCUUUUGGUGGGUGUGGAUGAGUGGCGAACGGGUGAGUAACACGUGAGUAACCUGCCCCCUUCUUCUGGAUAACCGCAUGAAAGUGUGGCUAAUACGGGAUAUUCUGUGCCUGCUGCAUGGUGGGUGUGGGAAAGAUGCGCUUUUGGGUGUUUUUGGUGGGGGAUGGGCUCGCGGCCUAUCAGCUUGUUGGUGGGGUGAUGGCCUACCAAGGCGGUGACGGGUAGCCGGCCUGAGAGGGUGGACGGUCACACUGGGACUGAGACACGGCCCAGACUCCUACGGGAGGCAGCAGUGGGGAAUAUUGCACAAUGGGCGCAAGCCUGAUGCAGCGACGCCGCGUGAGGGAUGGAGGCCUUCGGGUUGUAAACCUCUUUCGCCAGUGAAGCAGGCCUGUCCCUUGUGGGUGGGUUGACGGUAGCUGGAUAAGAAGCGCCGGCUAACUACGUG